AAAGGCAGUUUCAGAACAUUCUACCAACCUGGAACGUGUCUGCUACGCGGUGGAGGAAUUCGAUGACAAAAAGAGGGGGCACUUCCGUCUGUAUGACAGACACAAAGAAGAUUUUGUCUCGGUAGAUGCUGAUGAGGAAGUGGUGAGGGGUGGGGAUGACAGGAGGCACAUUUUCCACGUCGGCUGCUCUUUCCUGAGCUU
This is a non-coding RNA of Pseudonaja textilis, 201 nucleotides long. NCBI's taxonomy places the organism in Eukaryota, Metazoa, Chordata, Lepidosauria, Squamata, Elapidae. The record is from RefSeq and is a predicted model, not a curated record.